AACGAACGCUGGCGGCAUGCCUAACACGUGCCAGUCGAACGAGACCUUUGGGUCUAGUGGCGCACGGGUGCGUAACGCGUGGGAAUCUGCCCUUGGGUUCGGAAUAACAGUGAGAAAUUGCUGCUAAUACCGGAUGAUGUCUUCGGACCAAAGAUUUAUCGCCCAGGGAUGAGCCCGCGUAGGAUUAGCUAGUUGGUGGGGUAAUGGCCUACCAAGGCGACGAUCCUUAGCUGGUCUGAGAGGAUGAUCAGCCACACUGGGACUGAGACACGGCCCAGACUCCUACGGGAGGCAGCAGUGGGGAAUAUUGGACAAUGGGCGCAAGCCUGAUCCAGCAAUGCCGCGUGAGUGAUGAAGGCCUUAGGGUUGUAAAGCUCUUUUACCAGGGAUGAUAAUGACAGUACCUGGAGAAUAAGCUCCGGCUAACUCCGUG
This 433-nucleotide ribosomal RNA is filed under the name uncultured bacterium. RNAcentral's name for it is "partial 16S ribosomal RNA". It matches the Rfam family "Bacterial small subunit ribosomal RNA", at positions 29 to 507 of the family's 1533-position model. The record is from RNAcentral.